Molecule: ribosomal RNA, 1410 nt
Filed under: uncultured bacterium
Lineage: Bacteria
Description: bacterial SSU rRNA
Rfam family: Bacterial small subunit ribosomal RNA
Source: RNAcentral
GAUGAACGCUGGCGGCGUGCCUAAUACAUGCAAGUCGAGCGCCCCUUUCUUAGUGUUUAUAGCAAUAUGAACCCUGAGAUGGGGAGCGGCGGACGGGUGAGUAACACGUGGGAACAUACCCCAAACUGAGGGAUAAGCACCAGAAAUGGUGUCUAAUACCGCAUAUGGUCUUUUGAUUAAAGCUUCGGCGGUUUGGGAAUGGCCUGCGUCCGAUUAGCUAGUUGGUGAGGUAAAGGCUUACCAAGGCUAUGAUCGGUAGUUGGUCUGAGAGGAUGAUCAACCACACUGGAACUGAGAUACGGUCCAGACUCCUACGGGAGGCAGCAGUAGGGAAUCUUCCACAAUGGACGAAAGUCUGAUGGAGCAACGCCGCGUGCAGGAUGAAUGCCUUCGGGUUGUAAACUGCUUUUAUAGGUGAAAAUUAUGAUGGUAGCCUAUGAAUAAGGAUCGGCUAACUCCGUGCCAGCAGCCGCGGUCAUACGGAGGAUCCAAGCGUUAUCCGGAAUUACUGGGCGUAAAGAGUUGCGUAGGUGGUUUAUUAAGCGAUUAGUGAAAGCAUUCGGCUCAACCGAAUAAACAUUAUUCGAACUGAUUAACUUGAGAAUGUGAGGGGUACCUGGAAUUCCCGGUGUAGGAGUGAAAUCCGUAGAUAUCGGGAGGAACACCAAUGGCGUAGGCAGGGUACUGGCACAUUUCUGACACUGAGGCACGAAAGCGUGGGGAGCGAACGGGAUUAGAUACCCCGGUAGUCCACGCCGUAAACGAUGAAUGCUAGCAGUAGGAGGUAUCGACCCCUUCUGUUGCGAAGCUAACGCGUUAAGCAUUCCGCCUGGGGAGUACGAGCGCAAGCUUAAAACUCAAAGGAAUUGACGGGGACCCGCACAAGCGGUGGAGCGUGUUGUUUAAUUCGACGAUAAGCGAAGAACCUUACCAAGGUUUGACAUCCUGAGAAAUUCUGGGAAACCAGAGUGUGCCUUUUGGAACUCAGUGACAGGUGCUGCAUGGCCGUCGUCAGCUCGUGUCGUGAGAUGUUGGGUUAAGUCCCGCAACGAGCGCAACCCUUGUGGUUAGUUGUAUUUUUCUAACUAUACUGCCUCGGCAACGGGGAGGAAGGAGGGGAUGAUGUCAGGUCCGUAUUGCCCUUACACCUUGGGCCACAAACACGCUACAAUGGCUGGUACAAUGGGCUGCCAAGUCGCGAGAUGGAGCAAACCCCAUCAAAGCCAGUCCCAGUUCGGAUUGCAGGCUGAAACUCGCCUGCAUGAAGUCGGAAUCGCUAGUAACCGUAGGUCAGAACACUACGGUGAAUACGUUCCCGGGUCUUGUACACACCGCCCGUCAUACCACGGAAGUCGCCAACACCCGAAGCCUAACGUUCGUUAGCCUAAGGUGGGGGAGAUGACUGGGGUA